Trichobilharzia regenti is the source of this 45-nucleotide non-coding RNA. Lineage: Eukaryota; Metazoa; Platyhelminthes; Trematoda; Strigeidida; Schistosomatidae. The record is from Rfam.
AUCCAGAUGAUGAGUCCCAAAUAGGAGAAAAUACGCAUCCUGGAC